This 494-nucleotide ribosomal RNA is filed under the name uncultured bacterium. RNAcentral's name for it is "bacterial SSU rRNA". It matches the Rfam family "Bacterial small subunit ribosomal RNA", at positions 28 to 513 of the family's 1533-position model. The record is from RNAcentral.
GAUGAACGCUAGCGACAGGCCUAACACAUGCAAGUCGAGGGGCAGCACAUGAGUAGCAAUACGAUGGUGGCGACCGGCGCACGGGUGAGUAACACGUAUGCAACCUACCUUCUACCAGGGGGAUAACCCGUUGAAAGACGGACUAAUACCCUAUAAUACAGGGGCUCCGCAUGGAGAUAUUUGUUAAAGAUUCAUCAGUAGAAGAUGGGCAUGCGCAUGAUUAGCUAGUUGGCGGGGUAACGGCCCACCAAGGCAUCGAUCAUUAGGGGUUCUGAGAGGAAGGUCCCCCACACUGGUACUGAGACACGGACCAGACUCCUACGGGAGGCAGCAGUGAGGAAUAUUGGUCAAUGGGCGAGAGCCUGAACCAGCCAAGUCGCGUGAAGGAAGACUGUCCUAUGGAUUGUAAACUUCUUUGUACGGGAAUAAAGUGGGCUACGUGUAGCCUUUUGUAUGUACCGUACGAAUAAGGAUCGGCUAACUCCGUGCCAGCA